UGGGGAACGUUGUAGGGACGUGAUCCCAUGGUCUCUACCCAGCAUACACAGUAUGUUGUGAGGACGUCGCCAGUUGGUCGUCAUUUGGUCAGCGUGACAUUACUUGACAACGUCGUGAGGACGUCGUGGUAACGUUCCAUUUCCAGAAUUUUGACUAAGGUCCCAGAAACGUCCUGUGCACGUUCUCAAAAGACGUCCCUAGUUAGUCGCAUGGGAACGUUGUAGCGACGUGGUCAGCUGGUCUCCAGAUAACUUUUCAUAUUAUUGCAUUACAUGUAUUUGGCCUAUCUUUUUAAGGUGUAUACCAUUUGGAUAGCCUAUAAUAAGGGAAAUAUACUGAAUUAAUCAAGCAUUUUUGAGUUGUUAUAGAAAUAUAAUAAUUAUGCCGUCAUUUAAAAUGUAUAUAUUUGUCAUCAAGUUCAUGACAAAACAAAACCAAAUAGUUUGUUAGCGAAUAGCAAUAAUUUAUGCUUGUGAAUGACAGAAGAAAUUUAUUGAAAAACGGCAUGGGACAAGUGAACAUUUAAACCAGCGCACGUCACUUUUUGAGUGCUGCGUAAGUGCGCGUGCCCGUCACUUUAACGGUCAACUUCCAGCAGAUGGACCCGAAGGAAAAGGUCCUGACUGCCAAUAAACCAGGCAAUGAUUCACAGGUGGAGAGAUAGUCUGGGCAGCACCAAGCUGACAACUAUUAUGAUUAUAAGUAGGGAUGAUUAUCGAGAACAGGUACUGAUUUGGCUCCUGACUUGUUCAGUACUGAAUAACUGAUAUAAGCCACAGGACCAGCAAUGCUGCUGUUGGUGUUUUUGUAUUGUUGAUUCUUUCCUCUUUAGAAAUAACUGCAUAUCAUCCAAACCAUCUCCAAAUGAAUGGCUGCAAGGAUCCAGGAUCAAGAGAUAAUCCAUCAUGAAAACUGUUUCAUAGGAAUCAGCGAAUCCUGGGCCUGCCUGACCAUUCUGUUGCCCUGGAUGUGAAGCCACGCUGGAACUGCAUUUCUCAUGGUUGAAAGAGUUGCGCAUCAAUAUCCAGACAUACAAGAAGCCUUCCUGGACCCACACGACAAAAUGCUUAGGAGGAGAGGCAGGAUUUUUUUGAGACUAUGGAGGAUGGCUGGACCUUGGUCUGCCUGGGGGAUCUGGGGCCAUGGCCUUGUAUUCAAAGGAAAGGUGAAAAAUGAAGUCUGGGAACCACUGAAGAAGGCAGCAGUGAGGGACGGAAGUAAUCAUCA
This is a long non-coding RNA of Labeo rohita (rohu), 1228 nucleotides long. RefSeq lists it as uncharacterized. The transcript has 6 exons. The record is from RefSeq and is a predicted model, not a curated record. NCBI's taxonomy places the organism in Eukaryota, Metazoa, Chordata, Actinopteri, Cypriniformes, Cyprinidae.